CCUUUGGCUGGAAGCAUCGUCAAGACGCCAGCAUCAGACCCUUGCCAGCCGUGCCUUGAAACCCAGAUUACUGUCAUUAGAAUAUCGGGCCUUGCUUUGUUCAUCUGCCUUUGCCUUUUGGAAGACAACCUGGUACAGAACUUUGCACUUGUCCCUGUUGAAUUUCAUUCUGUUGUUUACAGCCCAAUGCUCCAUGACAGAUGCGUAUAGAUUAUGCAUGGUCUGAAGAAGGUGGAUAGGCUCCCUAUCUCAUAACACUAGAACCCAGUUGGGCCAUCCAAUGAAACUGAAUGUUGGAAGAUUCCAAGCAGAUGAAAGACUUCUUCUCUACACAGUGCAUAGCUGAACUAUGGAAAUCACUAUCACAAGAUGCCGUGAUCACCACCAACUAAGAGCAGUAGGAAGAAACGCUACACCUCCCAACUUCAAGGCUUUAUUCAUCCCGAUGAGACUUUCCCUGCUGGCUGGCUGGCUGGCUGCUGUAUUGUGAUGUCAUAAAGGACCACUCAUCACAACUUCUCAUUGGCCAACAACUGAAGAUCUUUCGUCAAGGCUCAAAGUGCUGAACCUAUGCAGAGAGAAGUAUGCACCGCUGAGUUCAAUGGACUUUAUUUAUUUAUGGGUCAAGACAGCUGCCUGCUAACGUGAUGACCUCCUAUACUUUACACCUUUUCUCCCAUUAAAUAAAAGGAGCUCCAUACCUUUUC
Molecule: long non-coding RNA, 707 nt
Organism: Rhineura floridana
Lineage: Eukaryota; Metazoa; Chordata; Lepidosauria; Squamata; Rhineuridae
Exons: 4
Source: RefSeq, a predicted model, not a curated record